This 640-nucleotide ribosomal RNA is filed under the name uncultured bacterium. RNAcentral describes it as "bacterial SSU rRNA". It matches the Rfam family "Bacterial small subunit ribosomal RNA", at positions 57 to 697 of the family's 1533-position model. The record is from RNAcentral.
GCAGUCGAACGAGAAUCUACUGAAAGAGUUUUCGGACAAUGGAAGUAGAGGAAAGUGGCGGACGGGUGAGUAACGCGUGAGGAACCUGCCUUGAAGAGGGGGACAACAGUUGGAAACGACUGCUAAUACCGCAUGAAGCAUAGGGGUCGCAUGAUCCUUAUGCCAAAGAUUUAUCGCUUCAAGAUGGCCUCGCGUCUGAUUAGCUAGUUGGCGGGGUAACGGCCCACCAAGGCGACGAUCAGUAGCCGGACUGAGAGGUUGAACGGCCACAUUGGGACUGAGAUACGGCCCAGACUCCUACGGGAGGCAGCAGUGGGGAAUAUUGGGCAAUGGGCGCAAGCCUGACCCAGCAACGCCGCGUGAAGGAAGAAGGCUUUCGGGUUGUAAACUUCUUUUAAGAGGGAAGAGCAGAAGACGGUACCUCUAGAAUAAGCCACGGCUAACUACGUGCCAGCAGCCGCGGUAAUACGUAGGUGGCAAGCGUUGUCCGGAUUUACUGGGUGUAAAGGGCGUGCAGCCGGGUCUGCAAGUCAGAUGUGAAAUCCAUGGGCUCAACCCAUGAACUGCAUUUGAAACUGUAGAUCUUGAGUGUCGGAGGGGCAAUCGGAAUUCCUAGUGUAGCGGUGAAAUGCGUAGAUAU